Molecule: ribosomal RNA, 229 nt
Filed under: uncultured bacterium
Lineage: Bacteria
Description: partial 16S ribosomal RNA
Rfam family: Bacterial small subunit ribosomal RNA
Source: RNAcentral
CAUGUAGGCGGCGCUGUAAGUCAGUGGUGAAAUCCCUCGGCUCAACCGAGGAACUGCCAUUGAAACUGUAGUGCUAGAGUGCGGGAGGGGCAGACGGAAUUCCAGGUGGAGCGGUGAAAUGCGUAGAUAUCUGGAGGAACGCCAGGGGCGAAAGCGGUCUGCUGGCCCGCAACUGACGCUGAGGUGCGAAAGCUAGGGGAGCAAACAGGAUUAGAUACCCUGGUAGUCC